UUUCCGUAGGUGAACCUGCGGAAGGAUCAUUACCGAGUGAGGGCCCUCUGGGUCCAACCUCCCACCCGUGUCUAUCGUACCUUGUUGCUUCGGCGGGCCCGCCUCACGGCCGCCGGGGGGCAUCUGCCCCCGCGCCCGCGCCCGCCGAAGACACCUAUGAACUCUGUCUGAAGAUUGCAGUCUGAGUGAAAUUAUAAAUUAUUUAAAACUUUCAACAACGGAUCUCUUGGUUCCG
This 235-nucleotide unclassified non-coding RNA is filed under the name plant metagenome. RNAcentral's name for it is "partial contains small subunit ribosomal RNA, internal transcribed spacer 1, and 5.8S ribosomal RNA". The record is from RNAcentral.